CCCGAACCGUGCGCGGCCCAAGAUCAAGUGACGCUACUCAGUUCCUCUCACGAUUCAUCUGUUCCUCACCGUCGUUCAUAGCGACGGACCGUCGGUGGCGGCGGCGGCGGCUCCUCCCUGAUCCAGUCUCGUUAGGUACCAGGGCAACCUGAACAUGCAGUUCGUCAGUUUUGCAAUGAAUUGAAGCUAGCUGGUUCAGUUUCAUCAAAACUAAGGAAGCACAACAACAUGUGUAUUUAGUUUUGUAAUAGAUAGGAAUUUGUCGGGUGAGUGAGACAAGAUUUACCAAAUUACCAAUGCAAGAGGAUUUUGAGAUGAGCUCUGAUUGGCACUUCACUAGCUAGUUGCUCAUAUCACAUUGGUGUUCUUUUUUUUCAGUGAUUUUAGGCUACAAAUUGCAAACUGGGUGAUGAAUGCUGAUGCCUUUGAACCUGGAGCAUCAACUGAAGAUUGCACCUGUACCAAUCAGAAAGGUCCAUAAAGUGGUGCUUGAAGAAGGAAGAUGUUCAAUUCUGAAGUGUACAUUGUAAUGAUCAUUGAUGUUCUUUUGCAGUCUGUGGCUCUAUUUCGACCAGCUCCUUUUCUUCUUUUGAUCUGCUUAAGAUAAUAUAACCUGUACCGUUACUGAAUGUUGAUUUGUAAUAGCAAAUUGAUGUGAAUUUAGACUGUGGCUCAAUAUGGAUUAAGAUGAAUUAAACUGUA
This is a long non-coding RNA of Panicum virgatum (switchgrass), 702 nucleotides long. RefSeq lists it as uncharacterized. The record is from RefSeq and is a predicted model, not a curated record. NCBI's taxonomy places the organism in Eukaryota, Viridiplantae, Streptophyta, Magnoliopsida, Poales, Poaceae. The transcript has 2 exons.